RNAcentral lists this ribosomal RNA (1036 nucleotides) under Ralstonia solanacearum. RNAcentral describes it as "bacterial SSU rRNA". It matches the Rfam family "Bacterial small subunit ribosomal RNA", at positions 47 to 1074 of the family's 1533-position model. Lineage: Bacteria; Pseudomonadati; Pseudomonadota; Betaproteobacteria; Burkholderiales; Burkholderiaceae. The record is from RNAcentral.
CCUUAACAUGCAGUCGAACGGCAGCGGGGGUAGCUUGCUACCUGCCGGCGAGUGGCGAACGGGUGAGUAAUACAUCGGAACGUGCCCUGUAGUGGGGGAUAACUAGUCGAAAGACUAGCUAAUACCGCAUACGACCUGAGGGUGAAAGUGGGGGACCGCAAGGCCUCAUGCUAUAGGAGCGGCCGAUGUCUGAUUAGCUAGUUGGUGGGGUAAAGGCCCACCAAGGCGACGAUCAGUAGCUGGUCUGAGAGGACGAUCAGCCACACUGGGACUGAGACACGGCCCAGACUCCUACGGGAGGCAGCAGUGGGGAAUUUUGGACAAUGGGGGCAACCCUGAUCCAGCAAUGCCGCGUGUGUGAAGAAGGCCUUCGGGUUGUAAAGCACUUUUGUCCGGAAAGAAAUCGCACUGGUUAAUACCUGGUGUGGAUGACGGUACCGGAAGAAUAAGGACCGGCUAACUACGUGCCAGCAGCCGCGGUAAUACGUAGGGUCCAAGCGUUAAUCGGAAUUACUGGGCGUAAAGCGUGCGCAGGCGGUUGUGCAAGACCGAUGUGAAAUCCCCGGGCUUAACCUGGGAAUUGCAUUGGUGACUGCACGGCUAGAGUGUGUCAGAGGGAGGUAGAAUUCCACGUGUAGCAGUGAAAUGCGUAGAGAUGUGGAGGAAUACCGAUGGCGAAGGCAGCCUCCUGGGAUAACACUGACGCUCAUGCACGAAAGCGUGGGGAGCAAACAGGAUUAGAUACCCUGGUAGUCCACGCCCUAAACGAUGUCAACUAGUUGUUGGGGAUUCAUUUCCUUAGUAACGUAGCUAACGCGUGAAGUUGACCGCCUGGGGAGUACGGUCGCAAGAUUAAAACUCAAAGGAAUUGACGGGGACCCGCACAAGCGGUGGAUGAUGUGGAUUAAUUCGAUGCAACGCGAAAAACCUUACCUACCCUUGACAUGCCACUAACGAAGCAGAGAUGCAUUAGGUGCUCGAAAGAGAAAGUGGACACAGGUGCUGCAUGGCUGUCGUCAGCUCGUGUCGUGAGAUG